RNAcentral lists this ribosomal RNA (486 nucleotides) under uncultured bacterium. Its description in RNAcentral is "partial 16S ribosomal RNA". It matches the Rfam family "Bacterial small subunit ribosomal RNA", at positions 30 to 507 of the family's 1533-position model. The record is from RNAcentral.
AUUGAACGCUGGCGGCAUGCCUUACACAUGCAAGUCGAACGGCAGCACGGGUGCUUGCACCUGGUGGCGAGUGGCGAACGGGUGAGUAAUACAUCGGAACAUGUCCUGUAGUGGGGGAUAGCCCGGCGAAAGCCGGAUUAAUACCGCAUACGUUCUACGGAUGAAAGCGGGGGACCUUCGGGCCUCGCGCUAUAGGGUUGGCCGAUGGCUGAUUAGCUAGUUGGUGGGGUAAAGGCCUACCAAGGCGACGAUCAGUAGCUGGUCUGAGAGGACGACCAGCCACACUGGGACUGAGACACGGCCCAGACUCCUACGGGAGGCAGCAGUGGGGAAUUUUGGACAAUGGGCGAAAGCCUGAUCCAGCAAUGCCGCGUGUGUGAAGAAGGCCUUCGGGUUGUAAAGCACUUUUGUCCGGAAAGAAAUCCUUGGCCCUAAUACGGUCGGGGGAUGACGGUACCGGAAGAAUAAGCACCGGCUAACUACGUG